Long non-coding RNA from Taeniopygia guttata (zebra finch), 2130 nucleotides. RefSeq lists it as uncharacterized. The record is from RefSeq and is a predicted model, not a curated record. Lineage: Eukaryota; Metazoa; Chordata; Aves; Passeriformes; Estrildidae.
UUAAAGCCCAUUGCUGCUGUUUAAGAAUUGCACAGGUGGAGAUGGAAUAUUUCAGUUAUUGAGGCUCAAAGUUCCCAAACACCUAUCUGUUAUUUUAGAAACCUCUUAGUGAUAUCUUUACUUUCAUCAUACUGGUGCUGUUCACGUAUUGGCUGUUUGUAAAACACUUUUGUCUGUUUAAAAUAUUAUUUUGAGAGAAAAACCAUGACAGAGAUAGCCACAACAGUGCAGACCAGCUUCUGACACUUGCAGUGCACUGCAUGACAGGAAGCAAGAGCAAACCGUGUGGCUGCAUGGGGAGGAGUUCCUGCCGAAAACUGAGGGACAGACAUAGGCGCUCCUUUGUAGCAAAGGCUUUCCACUGUCACGCUGAAAAUUAAGGAACCUGCUAAAAUCUGAGUACGAUACAAAAUAACCCAUGGUGUGGUGCUGCUUAUUUGUGCAUCAUCAGCACAAACAUACAAGGCCAGGAGCUGCAAAUUCAUCACCUCAGCUUGCCGAAGACUAAGGAAUCCAGGGACUGCUUGCAUGCUGACUGGUUAUGUUACUUGGAGACAUACAGAACUGGAUCUGACAGAUCCCAGCUGAAAAGUGUUUGAAAGAAGAACAGAAGCUGAGACUAAAUAGUGUAUGGACUCUUUUAUAUUGCAUCUUAUUUUUUAUUUAUAUAGUAGGUGAGUUUAAAAUUAUUAGAUAUUGAUUGUGUUAAUUAGAAGCAUAGUUUAUGUAGGAGUGUUCAGAUUCUGGCUGAAAAAGGAUUCUCAUGCAACAAAAAUCUCCUGUGGAGAAGAAAUAAAUGUGACUUAUUUAGCUGAAUUUGCUUUGGACUUUACUGUAAAGUUUGCAGAAAUGUUAGUGUAUUUAAAUGUUCUAGAUUCCAGUUACUGGUCCUCUCCCCUGUCUUCUAAAAAGGGGAAGGAAGAAGGUUAAAUAAAGACAAAGUAAAUACCAGUCCUCAAACAAAGCUGUGCUAAUCCUUGUCCUUACAGCAUCCCGUACAUGCACACCCAUUUCCUGUUGUUCAUGUUAAACACAUUGAACAUAACUUUCAUUUCAUUGUUCACUUCAGUGUUCCUUUUACAUUACAUGGACCGGAAAAUCUCCAAUCCAUCACAAGCAGUGCAGAAGCAGAGCCUGCUGGCUGUGGUGAAGGGAGGCUGCCAAGGAGCUGCCAUUUUGGCCAGCAGAGAUGGAAGUGUUUGAGAAGUAUGAAAGUCAUCAGUGGCAGAGAUGACCUCCCCACCAUUGCAGUUUUUGCUGUUCUGUAACAGAGUCUGUUUUUUCAUUUGUUUGUUUUCUUUGGAAUAUCAGGAACAAGCAAGUCCUGUUCCUAACACCAGUAUCCAGGGCUCCUGCCAGCUGAAUGGGUGCCGGGUGGGAAACUGGACUGAUACCAGUCUCUGUGCAGACACAUUUCUAAGAAUUUAGAAUGGAGAGAUGAUUUAACAAAAGUCAGCAGCUCUUCUGAAAAGCAUUUCCUUCACCAUCACAGGAUGGGUUUUGUCAAACUAUUUUUGUGCAUCUUUGCAUUUCAUCUCCCAGGUGGUAAAGUAUAAAUCUGUGAUAUUAGUAAUUAAUACCCGGUGAUGGAGACUGUGUUAAUCCAGCCUUUCUUAUAACAAUAAGGAAUAAUGUCUUAUUGCUCUAAUUCCUUUAAUGAAAUAAAUACUUUAAUAUAUAAUUGGAUAUCUUACCUUCUCAUCUCCUGUGAGAUAAUUAUAGAAAGCAACUCUUUCCUGCUGUGCUAAGGCCAGGAAGUGUCCUGGCUCUGUAACUGUGGAUGUAGGCAAAGCCUUUUGAGCAACAGUAACACAAACAUGAGGAUUCAAAAUUAUGAUAGAAAAAGCUUUUUCAGCCUGGAGGUACAUGUUCAGAUGCAGGUAAUGCACCUGUGUGGUCAGUCAGAAAACACAAAUACAUUUCUCAUCAGAGCGUGUACUUGCUACUAUUUUCAUACAGGUGUAUACCCGUUUUUUAAGGUCUCUAAAUACUGUGCAAAAAAAAGUUAUCAAAGUGUUCCAAGCUUGCCUGUUUUCCCAGCACAGCAAACAGGAUCAUAAUGUUUUUCAAUUUAGUUUGGUUCAUGUACAUACAAAUUCUAAUAAAGAGAUGCUCUGUGGUGAGAUGGCA